CAGACUAAGACUAUUUUUUAUUCUUCUUUUCUCUUUUUUUUUCCUCCUCCCUCCCCCCUUCAACUUCUUCCUGCCAGGUUCCUUUUACUAUUCCCCAAGCAAUGCUCAAAACAUCUACAUGUUAAGCCAAGUUAGAUGAAGGUGAACUAAAAGCUCCUCGCCUUGGGUGAAGAUCUAGAGGGACAAGACUGAACACACUGCCAAGAACCUACGUAACUUAUGUCUUCAAAAGGGCCUCCAGUUCAACCUUACUUAUAUUUACUACUUUUGUGAAUGGAAACCUACACUAAAUUUUCUUCCCUGAGAGCUGAAAAUGGAGUUGCUUUUAAGUUUCAACUGAAUUUGAGACAUCUUUAGAUCCAGAUGCUGUUCUUCCUGCUCUUCCUUCAAUCUGUGGCCUGUUCAAGUUAACUAUACGCUGAGGACCUCUAGGAACAGGAGCUAUGAAGAAUUAUUUUUUUUCCUUCUUGCCUAUCAGCAGAUUUAUCAGGGAAUGCAUAGUUCCAUCUACAGAAGGAACGCUGCUGUUCAGAUUAACUCCUUCUAGGCAUGAAAAGCCCAUGCAGAGCAGGUAACAGAAUGAAAUAACUGCACUCUAGCAUCCUCUGUUUAAAAAUAAAUAAACUCAUUCAUUUUUGUUUAUACCA
RNAcentral lists this long non-coding RNA (647 nucleotides) under Coturnix japonica (Japanese quail). RNAcentral's name for it is "lncRNA (ENSCJPG00005016877.1)". Lineage: Eukaryota; Metazoa; Chordata; Aves; Galliformes; Phasianidae. The record is from RNAcentral.